CCGGCACGGGUGAGUAACACGUAUGCAAUCCACCUGUAACAGGGGGAGUAACCCGGAGAAAUCCGGACUAAUACCCCAUAAUAUGGGCGCUCCGCAUGGAGAGCCCAUUAAAGAGAGCAAUUUUGGUUACAGACGAGCAUGCGCUCCAUUAGCCAGUUGGCGGGGUAACGGCCCACCAAAGCGACGAUGGAUAGGGGUUCUGAGAGGAAGGCCCCCCACAUUGGAACUGAGACACGGUCCAA
This 242-nucleotide ribosomal RNA is filed under the name uncultured bacterium. Its description in RNAcentral is "partial 16S ribosomal RNA". It matches the Rfam family "Bacterial small subunit ribosomal RNA", at positions 100 to 334 of the family's 1533-position model. The record is from RNAcentral.